CAGUCGCCACGGGAAUACGUAGGUGGCAAGCGUUGUCCGGAAUUAUUGGGCGUAAAGCGCGCGCAGGCGGAUAGGUCAGUCUGUCUUAAAAGUUCGGGGCUUAACCCCGUGAUGGGAUGGAAACUGCCAAUCUAGAGUAUCGGAGAGGAAAGUAGAAUUCCUAGUGUAGCGGUGAAAUGCGUAGAUAUUAGGAAGAACACCAGUGGCGAAGGCGACUUUCUGGACGAAAACUGACGCUGAGGCGCGAAAGCCAGGGGAGCGAACGGGAUUAGAGACCCGAGUAGUCCCUGUCUCUUAUACA
This 301-nucleotide ribosomal RNA is filed under the name uncultured bacterium. RNAcentral describes it as "partial 16S ribosomal RNA". It matches the Rfam family "Bacterial small subunit ribosomal RNA", at positions 509 to 809 of the family's 1533-position model. The record is from RNAcentral.